CACCCACAUUCGGUUCCAGGAUAAACUUGGUCUUAUCCCUUCUGAGUAUGUGAGCGUUUUACCAGCAAGUUUAUCUGUGUACUACAUGCAUAUAGUGCCUGAGGGUGUCAGAAGAUGCUGUUAAAUCUCCUGGAACUGAAAUCACAGCUAGUUGUUAGCUGUCACGUGGCUGCAAGGAACUAAAACUGGGUCCUCUGGAAAAGCAACUGGUGCUCUUAUUUGCAGAGUCAUUUUUCCAGCUCUGUCCAUCAUUUCCCUUUCCUCCAUGAGAUAAUAUACACAACUUGCCUACUGAAUACUAAAUACGUGCAUUGUAUAUGGCAAGAAGAGUUUGGAAACCCAGCAGGAAGGAAGAUGCUUUUGUACACAGAAAGGAAAAGCCUAACGUGACUUCAAUUAUCUUUCUUAUUAAUAGCAGAAACCCAAUGGUAUAAAAUAUAGCUGCAAAGAGAAUUGAUGGAAAACUGGCUCAAAUUUUCAUAUUGACAAUUACAACAGAAUAUAUUUAAAACAUAAAGGACUUGACCAAUUAAUGUUUAUCAAGUAAUUUCUAAGAGCAUACAUCUCUCCAAGGAUGUGAAGAGUUUUAUUUCUAUACUGUGGUAUAUUCCAGAAGAAAAAGAAGAAGUAACACUAGUAGAUGUGUUCAAUAGGAUUGGGUCCUCUUGCCUGGUAAUUAGAUUAUGUCCACAGCCUUUCUGACUUGAGACCAGGCCAUGCCAUCCAUGUUCAUGGAAGCUCAGCACCUGACUGCUUGAGGCAGAGUGCUUUGGUUUGAAGCCCAGGUCUGUUACUCACUGAACCUAUGACUUGGGACUAAUUACACACUGACUUCUUGGCUUCAAUGUCACCAUUUGUGAAGCAAAUUAUACUAGAACCUGCUCGAUAAAAAUGAGAAAAUAAUUGAGGCAUACCUUAAAGCGCCACGUAGAAGAAGAAAGAACUAUACAACUUCACUAAUAUUGUUUGAUUAAGUACACUUUGUUCUUUUUUUAAAAAAAUGGCAAAUACACAGAUAGGGAAUUAAAUGGUCCUUGGUGGGAAAGCAGCUAAAUUUCUGUCUCCAGAGUUGAGUCUUGUCAUACUCUUUGUAUUUCAUACCUAAGAGUUCUUUCCUACAAAUGAACUACACAAAGGACCUUGGAGUUAAAUUGAACUAUUAGGGAACCUGAUUUAAAAACAGAUGCCAUUUUCCUCACAGUAGGAAGGGGAAAGCCUUAUGAUUCACCAGUGAUAGCAAAAUUAAAACAAACAACUAACAUGGUUCUGGUCUGGGAACCCAAAGCAUUCUAAAGUGAAGAAGAUGCAAUCUGGAGGCAGAACUGAUGUCUCAGUACCAAUUCUACCACUGCCCUCCUGGACCUUCAUUACUUCGUACGGAUUGGACAUGAAGCCAUUCAUCAUGAGACCAUAUGUUCAUCUCCUCUGUACCUAAGUCUGGCUAGCUAACCUAGAUGGUGCCUCUGAGGCGCUAAGAUUGUGUGGCAAGUGGAGACUAUUGUGGCAUAAAAACUUGCAUAGAUUUUCAACCCCUUCUUCUAGUUCUUUCUUGUCCUAUGAUUCUGGUAAUGAAGCUGG
Myodes glareolus (Bank vole) is the source of this 1578-nucleotide non-coding RNA. NCBI's taxonomy places the organism in Eukaryota, Metazoa, Chordata, Mammalia, Rodentia, Cricetidae. The record is from RefSeq and is a predicted model, not a curated record.